CUGCCCAGCCAUAUCACUCUGCAGCCCAAGACUGGUUGCCCACUGAAGCUAAGCAGGGCUGAGCCUGGUCAGUACCUGGAUAAAGGGGCGCCAGGUUAGGAUGAUAUCAGGGGCCUGGUGAGG
Molecule: ribosomal RNA, 123 nt
Organism: Sinocyclocheilus grahami
Lineage: Eukaryota; Metazoa; Chordata; Actinopteri; Cypriniformes; Cyprinidae
Source: Ensembl